RNAcentral lists this ribosomal RNA (256 nucleotides) under uncultured bacterium. RNAcentral's name for it is "partial 16S ribosomal RNA". It matches the Rfam family "Bacterial small subunit ribosomal RNA", at positions 524 to 776 of the family's 1533-position model. The record is from RNAcentral.
GACGUAGGUGGCGAACGUUAUCCGGAAUUAUUGGGCGUAAAGGGUGCGUAGAUGGCCUGAUAAGUUAGCAGUGGGAAAUCGAGGCUCAACCUCGUGGAAGCUGGUAAUACUGUCAGGCUCGAGUGCAGGAGAGGUUAACGGAACUCCAUGUGGAGCGGUAAAAUGUGUAGAUAUAUGGAAGAACACCAAUAACGGCGAAGGCAGUUAACUAUUCUGUUACUGACAUUGAGGCACGAAAGCGUGGGGAGCAAAACAG